UACGUAGGGGGCAAGCGUUGUCCGGAAUCAUUGGGCGUAAAGCGCGCGUAGGCGGCUAGAUCAGUCUGCUGUAAAAGUCAAAGGCUCAACCUUUGAAAGCCGGUGGAUACUGUCUAGCUAGAGUCCGGAAGAGGCGAGUGGAAUUCCUGGUGUAGCGGUGAAAUGCGCAGAUAUCAGGAGGAACACCAAUGGCGAAGGCAGCUCGCUGGGACGUGACUGACGCUGAGACGCGAAAGCGUGGGGAGCAAACAGG
RNAcentral lists this ribosomal RNA (253 nucleotides) under uncultured bacterium. RNAcentral describes it as "partial 16S ribosomal RNA". It matches the Rfam family "Bacterial small subunit ribosomal RNA", at positions 524 to 776 of the family's 1533-position model. The record is from RNAcentral.